GGGAAGUUUUUAAAUGAGCUCACACGCAAGUCAAGGCUUCGGUCGUCUGUAUAUAAGCAAAGGAUAGGAACAGAGUCAACAUUGUGAAGCUUUUCCAGUACCAAAGCAAAUAUGAAAUACAUCUUCGUUGUCUUGAUCACCUUCGCGCUCUUCUACAAUGCGAUAGCUCAAGACCCUUGCGAUCCCGGUAGUCAAGAACCCGGAUGCGAGUGCAGUCGAGGUGAACCCUUCUGGACCGAAACCGACGCCGGUUGCGAGUUUAGGUGCAAGGACGGAGAUAAUCUCCACGAAUGUGGGGAUACCACGGAGUAGGUGCUACGACCAAUUUUUCGAAGCGCGCCACUGGUAUAUACAGAUUUGAUGUGAAGUCUGUUCUGAAUAAAGGUUACCCUGCAUUGA
This is a long non-coding RNA of Photinus pyralis (common eastern firefly), 399 nucleotides long. RefSeq lists it as uncharacterized. The record is from RefSeq and is a predicted model, not a curated record. NCBI's taxonomy places the organism in Eukaryota, Metazoa, Arthropoda, Insecta, Coleoptera, Lampyridae. The transcript is spliced from 2 exons.